Molecule: ribosomal RNA, 1060 nt
Filed under: uncultured Acidobacteriota bacterium
Lineage: Bacteria; Pseudomonadati; Acidobacteriota
Description: bacterial SSU rRNA
Rfam family: Bacterial small subunit ribosomal RNA
Source: RNAcentral
UCCUACGGGAGGCAGCAGUGGGGAAUUGUUCGCAAUGGGCGCAAGCCUGACGACGCAACGCCGCGUGGAGGAUGAAGACCUUCGGGUCGUAAACUCCUUUCGACCGAGAUGAAGAGCCUCCGACCUAAUACGUCGGAGGCCUGACAGUAUCGAGGGAAGAAGCACCGGCUAACUCCGUGCCAGCAGCCGCGGUAAUACGGAGGGUGCGAGCGUUGUCCGGAAUCAUUGGGCGUAAAGGGCGCGUAGGUGGCCUGGUCAGUUCGUGGUGAAAGCGCGGGGCUCAACCCCGCGUCGGCCAUGAAUACUGCGAGGCUGGAGCACUGUAGAGGCAGGCGGAAUUCCGGGUGUAGCGGUGGAAUGCGUAGAGAUCCGGAAGAACACCGGUGGCGAAGGCGGCGACCUGGUCCGAUACUGACGCUGAGGCGCGAAAGCGUGGGGAGCAAACAGGAUUAGAUACCCUGGUAGUCCACGCCGUAAACGAUGUGUGCUGGAUGUUGGGUGACCUAGUCACUCAGUGUCGUAGCUAACGCGAUAAGCACACCGCCUGGGGAGUACGGCCGCAAGGCUGAAACUCAAAGGAAUUGACGGGGGCCCGCACAAGCGGUGGAGCAUGUGGUUCAAUUCGACGCAACGCGAAGAACCUUACCUGGGCUCGAAAUGCGGAUGACCAUCGGUGAAAGCCGACUUCCGCAAGGACAUCUGUAUAGGUGCUGCAUGGCUGUCGUCAGCUCGUGUCGUGAGAUGUUGGGUUAAGUCCCGCAACGAGCGCAACCCUUGUUUCCUGUUGCCAUCACGUUAUGGUGGGCACUCUGGAGAGACUGCCGGUGACAAACCGGAGGAAGGUGGGGAUGACGUCAAGUCCUCAUGGCCCUUAUGUCCUGGGUUACACACGUGCUACAAUGGCGGUGACAGUGGGAAGCCAGGCAGCGAUGCCGAGCUGAUCCCAAAAAGCCGUCUCAGUUCAGAUUGCACUCUGCAACUCGGGUGCAUGAAGGUGGAUUCGCUAGUAAUCGCGGAUCAGCACGCCGCGGUGCUACCGUUUUAGGCCUGUACACACCGC